GAUGUGGUUCAAUGGUAGAAUGCUUGCCUAGCAUGCAUGAGGCCCUGGCUUAGAUCCCCAGCAAACA
RNAcentral lists this transfer RNA (67 nucleotides) under Marmota monax (woodchuck). RNAcentral's name for it is "tRNA.Ala". It matches the Rfam family "tRNA", at positions 6 to 65 of the family's 71-position model. Rfam says of the family: Transfer RNA (tRNA) molecules are approximately 80 nucleotides in length. Lineage: Eukaryota; Metazoa; Chordata; Mammalia; Rodentia; Sciuridae. The record is from RNAcentral.